GAGUUUGCUCUCCUAGGUGAACUGCCUACCACGGCUAACGAGCUCCACCUGCCCGGGUUUGUUUAGAGUUUGCUCUCCUAGGUGAACUGCCUCCCACGGCUAACGAGCUCCACCUGCCCGGGUUUGUUUAGAGUUUGCUCUCCUAGGUGAACUGCCUCCCACGGCUAACGAGCUCCACCUGCCCGGGUUUGUUUAGAGUUUGCUCUCCUAGGUGAAUUGCCUCCCACGGCUAACGAGCUCCACCUGCCCGGGUUUGUUUAGAGUUUGCUCUCCUAGGUGAACUGCCUCCCACGGCUAACGAGCUCCACCUGCCCGGUUUUGUAUAGAGUUUGCUCUCCUAGGUGAACUGC
Molecule: long non-coding RNA, 350 nt
Organism: Eriocheir sinensis (Chinese mitten crab)
Lineage: Eukaryota; Metazoa; Arthropoda; Malacostraca; Decapoda; Varunidae
Exons: 3
Source: RefSeq, a predicted model, not a curated record